GACGAACGCUGGCGGCGUGGAUUAGGCAUGCAAGUCGAACGGUAUCAUCCUUUCGGGGGUGAGAGAGUGGCGAACUGGUGAGUAACACGUAGGUUAUCUACCCUCAAGACGGGGACAACCCAGGGAAACUUGGGCUAAUACCGGAUGUGAGCAACUUUUAGUUGUUUGAAAGGUGGCGUAAGCUGUCGCUUGGGGAUGAGCCUGCGUCCUAUUAGUUAGUUGGUGAGGUAACGGCUCACCUAGGCAAUGAUAGGUAGGCGGCCUUAACGGGUGGUCGCCCACACUGGGAUUGAGAUACGGCCCAGACUCCUACGGGAGGCAGCAGUCGAGAAUAGUCUACAAUGGUCGGAAGACUGAUAGUGCGACGCCGCGUGAACGAUGAAUCCCUUCGGGGUGUAAAGUUCUUUUAUAUGUGAGCAGUGCUUCUUAUAUUAAACAGUAUGGGGAGAGAGAUAUUAGCAUAUGAAUAAGCAACGGCUAACUCCGUGCCAGCAGCCGCGGUAAACACUAA
Molecule: ribosomal RNA, 511 nt
Filed under: uncultured bacterium
Lineage: Bacteria
Description: bacterial SSU rRNA
Rfam family: Bacterial small subunit ribosomal RNA
Source: RNAcentral